Long non-coding RNA from Bubalus bubalis (water buffalo), 2731 nucleotides. RefSeq lists it as uncharacterized. The transcript is spliced from 2 exons. NCBI's taxonomy places the organism in Eukaryota, Metazoa, Chordata, Mammalia, Artiodactyla, Bovidae. The record is from RefSeq and is a predicted model, not a curated record.
CUGUGCGACCCCAUAGACGGCAGCCCAACAGGCUCCCCCGUCCCUGGGAUUCUCCAGACUUGGCUGUCUUUGCAGACUUUGACUUGUCCUGUGCUGGGGUCAGCUGAGGUCCUGAUGGUUUGCAGACUGUGAGUUGUCCUCCACUGGGGUCAGCUGAGGUCCUGAUGGUUUGCAGACUUGGUUUGUGCUGCACAUGGAUUCAUUCCACGUAAGAGUCCCCUCCUUCCACCCGUUUUCAUCUUUAUUUUUUAACAUGGUCUUUUUAUAUCCGUGCUCAUCAGAGAACUUCUCGGGAAGUGUCGUGUCGGUGUCCCUGGCUGCCUUUUCAUUUUCUUCUACGUCGGAUCAUCAGCGAACGCGCUUCCGGCACUUUUCUCUCAGGCCUUGUGUGCUCACCCUCGUUCCCUUUCAGCGUCUCAAGCACUGAGGCCGCUCGGUGUGGACGCUGGUGUCCCACGGUGUGCUUCUUUACACAGUGCGUCACACCCGUGUGUGGGGUCCCAGGCUCCUCCUCUUUGGGUUCCCGAAUGUCACGGCCUUUUGUCCUAACCUGGGCUUUGUGUGAAGUGGGGAAAGGGAGGAAGCUGGGGGUGAACCCCAACCCACACAUCAAGGCCGGACCGAGGGCCAAGUAGACAGCUCUGGAGCCACUAGCUGGGGCUUCCAGUGGCCACUAGACAGCCAGGCGUGAAGUAAGGGCUCCACUGAGUCCCGGGGAAACGUGUGAGUUCCUGGCACAGGGAACCGGGAAGCUACUAAAUGUGUGUGAAGUGCAUCCCUACUUUUGUGUGUGUGGACUUUCAUACACACCACAUCUUAUUUUUCCCCAAACGUGGAAAUAGAUUUUCUGUCUUAUCUAUUGAUGAGAUUUUAAAAAUCAGUAAAAACAAAAUAACACAAAAAUCUGAUGCACUGAAAAAAAGGAAGAAAGUAAAUGCCUGUAUUUCACCGCCUGCCGAUGACCGGCACGCACGCUUGGCAGCAGGGCCCAGAACAUACGUCGUUCUCUUUUUGUCUCUUGCUCUUUGCGGUUUCUGGUCAUGAGGACCAGUUCAGUGAGUCUCAUUGAAAUCUACUUGUGUUUUGGUGCCUUCGUGCUCAAAAACGUAUGCUCCUGUACAGGAAUUUCCCGGACUCUGCUGUGAGACAUCUGUGGCAUUGAUAUCAAUGCUAAGAAGAAUGUUAACGAGAGCCAGAUUUCAUCGAACACUGUUUAAGCCGGCGUUUUGUAAGCCCUCUCUGUGCGCUCUAAUUUAAUCCUGACCACAGGCACAUGAAGUAGGUUUGUAUUGGCUGCACCACGUGGCGUGUGGGAUCUUCAGCUCCCCAACCAGGGAUCAAUCCCACAACACCUGCUGUGGACGCUCAGAGUCCUAACCACUGGACCACCAGGGAAGUCCUCACCCCAGUGUAGAGAUGGAAACUUGACUGUAGGCUGUGACUUGCCCCUGAGGCCACAGUUAGUAAGACGCAGAGUCAUCAGGGCUCAGACACGAGUGGACCCUGAUGGAAGCUUCUGGCCCCGCCUAGGAUAUCACACAAGGUUAUGGGCUUGUCCCCCUUCCCUGACGGAGUCACCCUCGAGGAACCGUGUAACAGGCUCGUUUUCUCUGGUUCCCCUUCUCCUCCAGAGACUCUGGAUCCCAGCCGUGGGAACUUGCCACGCUGAGUUUAAUACCCGAGCCUCUGGGUUGAUGAGGCUCCAGCAAAAUCCCCACCGGUUCCUGAGUGAUGUCCUCAGUCCUUUGCUAGAAGUCCAGUCUUCUGGCGUCCCAGGCCAGGAUCUGGGAAAUAAGAGCCUCUCUCCGAAGCCUCCUCAGGAGAGCGGCUGGUCUUCAGCGGCGACAUGGCCGGCGUGCACGUGAGCAGCUUCGUAAGCCUGUCUCCUGCCCAGUGACGCGCAAGGUUGAGCAGGUGGGUUUGGAGAGUGAGAACGGAGGACGGGAGAGGGAGAGCCGAGCAGGGGAUUUCCUUCCCUCCCACACUGGCUUCACCCCGGUCUGUCUCCUCCGCUGUGGUCAGUGUCCUUCUGAAACACACGCUUGACUGUGGGCCUCCCAGCACUGCUGUGAAGCUGGGCUCAACUCUUAAACACGGCGUCUGAGGCGCCUCUGUCAUCCCGAGCCUACGCCGUCCCCAGCCCCGUUUCCAGGGCUCCUCGCCUGAAAUAGCCGCUCCAGCAGCGUUCGGCCAUGGGGCAUCUGUCAGGAACACAGCCUUCCACCUCUGGCUCUCACAACUGCGUCCUUACCACCUCACCUGCUGCCCUCUGAACUGCCAAGCCCAAGGUUCUUUAAGACAUAACCCGAGGGAAAUGCCCUCUGUAGGAUCCCUGCAGAUGCUUCCAAGGAAAAUAAGUACCUUGGGUUUUCUUCUGUAGCAUUGUAUUUCAGCCCUAGAAAACCGUGAAUUCCUUGCGGACAACGGUCAAGACUUGCGUUUUUCUGAGAUUCCAAUGCCAACUGCCAAGUACAGCUUAAUAAGGGAUUGGGGAAUACUUGCAAAAGAAAGACUGAGUUUGUGAAAUCUAGGAAGUAAUUCACAGGGGAUCAAGGAGUCACACACUAUAGAAAGUAUAAAAGGUAAUCUCAUGUUGGCAAGACAGAGGAUUACGUGGAACCUUAUCAGUAGAACUUAGGUAAAUAUUGACAUGCCGAAUCAAUGGGUCUUAACCCCCACUGCAAUCAUAAUUACCUGGGACUUUAAAAAAAGCCCAAUGCCUGGACUGUCC